ACGGAGGGUGCAAGCGUUAUCCGGAUUCACUGGGUUUAAAGGGUGCGUAGGUGGGUUGGUAAGUCAGUGGUGAAAUCUCCGAGCUUAACUUGGAAACUGCCAUUGAUACUAUCAGUCUUGAAUACCGUGGAGGUCAGCGGAAUAUGUCAUGUAGCGGUGAAAUGCUUAGAUAUGACAUAGAACACCAAUUGCGAAGGCAGCUGGCUACACGAAUAUUGACACUGAGGCACGAAAGCGUGGGGAUCAAACAGG
RNAcentral lists this ribosomal RNA (252 nucleotides) under uncultured bacterium. Its description in RNAcentral is "partial 16S ribosomal RNA". It matches the Rfam family "Bacterial small subunit ribosomal RNA", at positions 525 to 776 of the family's 1533-position model. The record is from RNAcentral.